AAAAAAUAGAUUAAAGACCCUCAGAGGAGAUCAUUAGGCUGGACCAGGUUAACUCGGAUCCAAGGCCCUCACUCGGGUUAGGCAUUCACUUGGGAAGGAGAAACCCUAAAAAAACAGAAACAAAGCAGAGCUUCUUCAAAUUCGUCGUAAUGCUCCUUCUCACUCGACUUCUCACUCUCUCUUAAACCUUCAAUUCCAAUCCAAUGGUAAACACGAAGUAUUCAUGAACAAACACACAGGUUUGCAUUUCUUCUCCAUUUCACACUCGUUCUCUGAUUUGACAACAAGAGGCAGUAGCGUGAAAGGAGAAUCCCGUGAUUCGAGAAUCCAAAUCGCCCCCUAUUUUCAGUUCACUUCGAUCAUUAUCCUUUUAAACAUGGUAUGACUACCAAAGGAAAUGAGGAGACGAGAUAUCUAGGCAAGAAAGGAUUGGUUUUUCACUUUAGUCAACUAGUCUCUGUUCCGAAUCAAGUGAAAGCAAGUUUUCACGAUCGUACUUGGAUCAUCCUCUGUCUAGAAAACUAAGACGACUUAAGGUAAGAGUGAAGACUUAUUCGGAAAUAUGCAUCACCUCAGCACCAAGGAGUUUCAUCUAGUGAGCUUCUCCAUAGGGCUUUUCAUCGGUGAACGAACAGAGAAAAAGAAAAAAAAAACGACAAAGGGAAAAGAAAUGAACCAACUGUAGCUACAAGAACUCUCUUCCCACAGUCAGUCUACUGGUUCACAUCAAGACAAAAAAAAAAUGAGAUUUGGUGGGCUGGUAUUUCUUGCAAGGGAGGAUACAUGAUGAAUUAUAGAUACUCUUGAGGUAGCUUGAGCAAGGGUCCUCCAGAAAUUAGAAAUUUCUACUUGAAUUCUGUUAGGUUUUUCUAGUAAAUUGUAAAACCAUGUGGUUUGUUGUUUUUUCUUUUGAAGAAAUUUGCAGCAACUUUGUAAAUCCCUUGCUGUCAUUUGGUUGUACUUAAUUCGGCCGAUGGAUGUAAUUAACCUUUCAGAUUUAUUUGAUUCAAAAUACAACUUAUGAACCUUUUCAUGCUAGUUUGUUUAGUGAAACUAAAUGCUCUUACUAUCUAAAGAAACAAAACUUAAGUUUAGUUCAAAAAACCAAAUUUGCUUGAUGUGAAUCGAAGAAAAAAAAUGGAAAAGUCUAGAAAUGAAUGAGAAUGAGGAUGAUAGUUUCAACAAGGGCAACCCUUUAAAAAAAACAGAUUUUCAAACUUUAGUUAAUACUUUUGACUCUAAGCUUGCAAUUGGAUCAAUUCUUAUGAGAUUAAAGUAUUCAAAAAAACAUGAACAAAAUAAUGGACUUUUGGACCUAAUAUUUAGGGGAAA
This is a long non-coding RNA of Vicia villosa (hairy vetch), 1332 nucleotides long. RefSeq lists it as uncharacterized. NCBI's taxonomy places the organism in Eukaryota, Viridiplantae, Streptophyta, Magnoliopsida, Fabales, Fabaceae. The record is from RefSeq and is a predicted model, not a curated record. The transcript has 3 exons.